UCCGUAGGCGGGCUAAUAAGUCAGGGGUGAAAUCCCACAGCUUAACUGUGGAACUGCCUUUGAUACUGUUAGUCUUGAGUUAUAUGGAAGUAGAUAGAAUGUGUAGUGUAGCGGUGAAAUGCAUAGAUAUUACACAGAAUACCGAUUGCGAAGGCAGUCUACUACGUAUAUACUGACGCUAAUGGACAAAAGCGUGGGGAGCGAACAGGAUUAGAUACCCUGGUAGUCC
Molecule: ribosomal RNA, 229 nt
Filed under: uncultured bacterium
Lineage: Bacteria
Description: partial 16S ribosomal RNA
Rfam family: Bacterial small subunit ribosomal RNA
Source: RNAcentral